Long non-coding RNA from Triticum aestivum (bread wheat), 462 nucleotides. RefSeq lists it as uncharacterized. The record is from RefSeq and is a predicted model, not a curated record. Lineage: Eukaryota; Viridiplantae; Streptophyta; Magnoliopsida; Poales; Poaceae. The transcript is spliced from 2 exons.
UGUUAGGUCCAUCCUGCACAAGAACAUGCUCAAUGGUUGCAUGAUUUUGCAUCAAGAGUAGAUCAUCGCUCGGACUUUGGAUGGAACUGAUUGACCUUUUAGACGGGUCAUAUGGCGUAGAGUCUUGUAUGAGCUUCAGAGUUCGUAAUAUUCUGUCCAUUGCGUAUUCAAGGAGAAACUGCUGCAGUAAGAUGUCUUGUCAGUUUAAUGGCCAGUGUUUAUGAUACCCUUUGCCGGAGUCCUUGUGUGAUCUAGUGGGUUUGGCUUCGGACUUGCCAUGGCAAGGGAAUGUCGAAACUGUUUGGUUUGAUUCGUAAUCAUGAAGCAUUUCUGGUGUCCUCUGGUGUGCUGGCUGUUGCGUUCCAGUGAUUUGCUGCAUGAACUAAAAUUCAGGAUUUGCAUUUAAGUGCACCUGCAACUGUGGAACAUAUAAUUGGAGGACAUAGGCUCUGUUUGGCGUCA